AGUAUGACUCUCGGCAAUGGAUAUCUCGGCCCUCGCAUCGAUGAAGAACAUAGCAAAAUGUGAUACCUAGUGUAAAUUGCAGAAUCCCGUGAACCAUCGAGUCUUUGAAUGCAAGUUACGCCCGAGGCUGGCUGGCUGAGGGCAUGCCAGCCUGGGCAUCAUGC
This 164-nucleotide ribosomal RNA is filed under the name Sabal mauritiiformis. RNAcentral describes it as "5.8S ribosomal RNA". It matches the Rfam family "5.8S ribosomal RNA". Rfam says of the family: 5.8S ribosomal RNA (5.8S rRNA) is a component of the large subunit of the eukaryotic ribosome. It is transcribed by RNA polymerase I as part of the 45S precursor that also contains 18S and 28S rRNA. Lineage: Eukaryota; Viridiplantae; Streptophyta; Magnoliopsida; Arecales; Arecaceae. The record is from RNAcentral.